This 441-nucleotide long non-coding RNA is filed under the name Mytilus galloprovincialis (Mediterranean mussel). The record is from RNAcentral. Lineage: Eukaryota; Metazoa; Mollusca; Bivalvia; Mytilida; Mytilidae.
AUUUUAUCUUUUCCACCCAUAAAACGUAAAUAUAAGGAAUAAUUUUGAAUGGUGACAAAUUAGGGGAAGUAACUCUAACUCUAUUUGUAAACAAAUGUAGAGCAGUUUAUUUACGACCUAAAGCUAAGGUAAUUGGUGUUAAUUAACAGUGUGUUUGACACCAAAGCUGUGAAGUAAAGCCAUGCACUUAAUGGGUCACUUAAAUUGACAGUUUACAUAGCUAGAUGAAGUUCCUGUUCAUGGAAGAAUUACGAAUUUGCCGGUAUUUCAAAAGAAUAUUACUUAUGAAAUCAAUCGCAAGGCUAAGAAAUACGGGUGAAAUCGGGUCAUUUUCGGAAUUCCCGGGUGAUUUCAAUGACCCGGCGGGUGUCCCGGGUGAUCCCUCAGAAUUGUGAAAAUCUCGGGUCACACCCGCAAAAAACGGGUCAGUUGACUGGUAUG